CCUACGGGAGGCAGCAGUGGGGAAUAUUGCACAAUGGGGGAAACCCUGAUGCAGCAACGCCGCGUGAGGGAAGACGGUUUUCGGAUUGUAAAGUUCUGUUAGUAGGGAAGAAAAUGAAGGUAACUGAUUAAGAAGCCCCGGCUAACUACGUUCCAGCAGCCGCGGGAAGACGGAGGGGGCCAGCGUUAUCCGGAAUUACUGGGUGUAAAGGGUGCGAAGGCGGGAGGACAAGUCAGGAGUGAAAAGCUGGGGCUUAACCCGGAGACUGUAGUUGAAAAUGGGUAUCUUGAGUGAAGGAGAGGUAAGUGGAAUUCCGAGUGUAGCGGUGAAAUGCGUAGAUAUUAGGAGGAACACCAGUGGCGAAGGCGGCUUACUGGACUGUAACUGACGCUGAGGCUCGAAAGCGUGGGGAGCAAACAGGAUUAGAUACCCCGGUAGUC
RNAcentral lists this ribosomal RNA (440 nucleotides) under uncultured bacterium. RNAcentral describes it as "partial 16S ribosomal RNA". It matches the Rfam family "Bacterial small subunit ribosomal RNA", at positions 338 to 795 of the family's 1533-position model. The record is from RNAcentral.